Molecule: ribosomal RNA, 468 nt
Filed under: uncultured bacterium
Lineage: Bacteria
Description: partial 16S ribosomal RNA
Rfam family: Bacterial small subunit ribosomal RNA
Source: RNAcentral
GACGAACGCUGGCGGCGUGCUUAACACAUGCAAGUCGAACGGAAAGGCCCUGCUUUUGUGGGGUGCUCGAGUGGCGAACGGGGGAGUAACACGUGAGUAACCUGCCCUUGACUUUGGGAUAACUUCAGGAAACUGGGGCUAAUACCGGAUAGGAGCUCCUGCUGCAUGGUGGGGGUUGGAAAGUUUCGGCUGGUGGGGAUGGACGCGCGGCUUAUCAGCUUGUUGGUGGGGUAGGGGCUUACCAAGGCUUUGACGGGUAGCCGGCCUGAGAGCGUGACCGGGCACCUUGGGACUGAGAUACGGACCAGACUGCUACAUGAGGCAGCAGUGGGGAAUAUUGCACAAUGGGAGCACGCCUGAUGCAGCGACGCCGCGUGCGGGAUGACGGCCUUCGGGUUGUAAACCGCUUUCGCCUGUGACGCAGCGUGAGUGACGGUAAUGGGUAAAGAAGCACCGGCUAACUACGUG